RNAcentral lists this long non-coding RNA (1128 nucleotides) under Capra hircus (goat). Its description in RNAcentral is "lncRNA (ENSCHIG00010023569.1)". Lineage: Eukaryota; Metazoa; Chordata; Mammalia; Artiodactyla; Bovidae. The record is from RNAcentral.
CUGUAGAAAGAAGAGCGCCUUACAGCUGCUAAGAACGGAUUGUUUUCACCAAAUAUUUGCAUGGGAGCCGUGCAUUGACACUGUGUGCUUUGGAUUUCAGGGAGCAGGCUGAUGCCUCUUGGGGCAUCUUCUGUACCUGGCAGCAUCUUUAGCUCCUCUCACUGCAGAGGUCGCCGAAGUUCUGUCUUCAUUCUUGCUGGGAGAAUGGAAGAAGCCCAAACCCUGUCUACUGACCUGAAUCAGAAGGAAGGAAGAACACAAAGUCUUGGAACUGUGACUUUAUCCAUAAAGAAAAGAAAAGCAAAAACUCCAGCUUUCAGGUUAGAUGGCAUCACUACCUCAAUGGACAUGAAUUUGAGCAAACUACCAGAGACAGUAAAGGACAGAGAAGCCUGCUGUGCUGCAGUCCAUGGGGUCGCAAAGAGGCAGACAUGCCUUAGAGACUGAACAGCAACACGUAUCUGUUGAGAAAUUAUUAUGUUGUUUGCCAGGGGUUGGAUAUCCAAAGAUGAACAAGUUCCUUAACUUUGAGGAGCUUAAAGUUAGUGAUGGAAGCAUGCUCAGUGGCUCAAUCAUGUCCAACUCUUUGAGACCCCUGGAACUGUAGCCCACCAGGCUCCUCUGCCCAUGGAAUUUUCCAGGUAAGAACACUCAAUUGGGUUGCCAUUUCCUACUCCAGGGGGUCUUCCUGACUCAGAGAUCAAAUCUUAGUCUCCUACAUUGCAGACAGAUUCUUUACCACUCUGCCACCUGGGAAACCCCAGGUAUACAUGUAAGAACAAGGUGAUAUGAGUGGGUGAUAUUACUUUGAGGAGAAGUAGGAAUUUGUCGAGAUGAAAAUGGGAGAAAAGGCCAUUCUAGAGAGAUGCUGUAUAGCGUGUGCCAAAGGUUAACCGUCAGCCAAGACUGCGGAUUACUGAUCAGACGAGUGAGAAGUCUGGGGUGACCAGGGCACAGUACCCUUCUCUCUCUGCUGAGUAGGUACCCCCACCAGCCACACUACUCAGGGCUCAGCAAAAGAUGAGAGCAGCGAUCACCCAUAACCCUGAUGCUCAGAUAGGGAGCAGGGUACUAAUUCAUUUCCAAGAGGGACCACCAAGCUUAUGAGGUCCCAGAAACUUGUGAAAU